Molecule: ribosomal RNA, 517 nt
Filed under: Lactiplantibacillus plantarum
Lineage: Bacteria; Bacillati; Bacillota; Bacilli; Lactobacillales; Lactobacillaceae
Description: bacterial SSU rRNA
Rfam family: Bacterial small subunit ribosomal RNA
Source: RNAcentral
AGAGUUUGAUCCUGGCUCAGGACGAACGCUGGCGGCGUGCCUAAUACAUGCAAGUCGAACGAACUCUGGUAUUGAUUGGUGCUUGCAUCAUGAUUUACAUUUGAGUGAGUGGCGAACUGGUGAGUAACACGUGGGAAACCUGCCCAGAAGCGGGGGAUAACACCUGGAAACAGAUGCUAAUACCGCAUAACAACUUGGACCGCAUGGUCCGAGUUUGAAAGAUGGCUUCGGCUAUCACUUUUGGAUGGUCCCGCGGCGUAUUAGCUAGAUGGUGAGGUAACGGCUCACCAUGGCAAUGAUACGUAGCCGACCUGAGAGGGUAAUCGGCCACAUUGGGACUGAGACACGGCCCAAACUCCCUCGGGAGGCAGCAGUAGGGAAUCUUCCACAAUGGACGAAAGUCUGAUGGAGCAACGCCGCGUGAGUGAAGAAGGGUUUCGGCUCGUAAAACUCUGUUGUUAAAGAAGAACAUAUAUGAGAGUAACUGUUCAGGUAUUGACGGUAUUUAACCAGAAAG